Molecule: transfer RNA, 78 nt
Filed under: Aestuariivirga litoralis
Lineage: Bacteria; Pseudomonadati; Pseudomonadota; Alphaproteobacteria; Hyphomicrobiales; Aestuariivirgaceae
Description: tRNA-Arg
Rfam family: tRNA
About the family: Transfer RNA (tRNA) molecules are approximately 80 nucleotides in length. Their secondary structure includes four short double-helical elements and three loops (D, anti-codon, and T loops).
Source: RNAcentral
GACCCCGUAGCUCAGCUGGACUAGAGCAAGUGCCUUCUAAGCACUAGGUCGUUGGUUCGAAUCCAACCGGGGUCGCCA